Molecule: ribosomal RNA, 460 nt
Filed under: uncultured bacterium
Lineage: Bacteria
Description: bacterial SSU rRNA
Rfam family: Bacterial small subunit ribosomal RNA
Source: RNAcentral
AGAGUUUGAUCCUGGCUCAGAUUGAACGCUGGCGGCAGGCCUAACACAUGCAAGUCGAACGGUAACAGGAAGCAGCUUGCUGCUUCGCUGACGAGUGGCGGACGGGUGAGUAAUGUCUGGGAAACUGCCUGAUGGAGGGGGAUAACUACUGGAAACGGUAGCUAAUACCGCAUAACGUCGCAAGACCAAAGAGGGGGACCUUAGGGCCUCUUGCCAUCGGAUGUGCCCAGAUGGGAUUAGCUAGUAGGUGGGGUAACGGCUCACCUAGGCGACGAUCCCUAGCUGGUCUGAGAGGAUGACCAGCCACACUGGAACUGAGACACGGUCCAGACUCCUACGGGAGGCAGCAGUGGGGAAUAUUGCACAAUGGGCGCAAGCCUGAUGCAGCCAUGCCGCGUGUAUGAAGGAGGCCUUCGGGUUGUAAAGUACUUUCAGCGGGGAGGAAGGGAGUAAAGUUAAU